GCCGUAUUUGAAAUACUCGUAAUAAUAUUUAGACAUGGUUCGGUCCAUGUUUUUUUUUCUUUAAAAACGGAUCUAACUCUAUAAUUCAUUUUCUUCAUUUUUCCUGAAUCAUAGACAACAGACAUUCUAUAAAUCAAUCAGACUUCAUUUUAUUUGUCAGCUACAAAAAACUUUCUAAAUACAAUUUACGUAUAGAGCCUUCAAAUUUAGUUACUUAAAGGGUAAUUGUCGAGUUUUUUUCUGGUUUUCUGGAUGAAACAUUUUUCCAAACCUCUGGGCAUAUUGGAAAAAACAAUUUUUCGUAUUUCAUUGCCGUAACACAAUUAUUAUCUUCACGACCUCACGUAUACCAGAUCGUCCCGCAGUCCCAUAAAUUGUGAUUAAAAUCCAGUUUAUUGGAGUUGAUACAUGUCAGAAAUGAUUAUGAACUCCUUGUACUUUAACUACUUGGAAGUCAAUAGUCAUGAGUCGCGCUUGACACUGGAGUCGCCGUUUCCUGCCACACACCCAGUAGACCCGAUGACCUCCGUACGUCCUUUCCUUGAUGAAGUUCAUCCCUUUGUAGACUAUCAUCGGAUUACCCUGACGUGAUCGCACUAUCACUGCACCUAUGACAUAAUUGUUUUAUCUUAAAUUAUAUUUUACCUGUAAACUGUGCAAAUAGAAGAUCAGAUAUUUUCAUAAUUUGUCCGGCUAAUUAGAUUAAGCGCUGCUUCUUAUUUUAUUGUAUUUUUUUUCUAUCUAGCUACAUUAAAUAAGUGCAUAUUGAAUCAAUUACUCUUACAAUUACAUCGCAAAUCUCUCAUCAACUCACUUUCAAAUCAAUAGUUUAUUAAUAAGUUUGCUUCUUAGAACCAUAGCAGUUUUAAACCAGUAACGCCAUCUGCCAUGCGGAGUAAACAACUAAACGACUU
Bombyx mori (domestic silkworm) is the source of this 914-nucleotide long non-coding RNA. RefSeq lists it as uncharacterized. The transcript has 2 exons. The record is from RefSeq and is a predicted model, not a curated record. NCBI's taxonomy places the organism in Eukaryota, Metazoa, Arthropoda, Insecta, Lepidoptera, Bombycidae.